GGCUGAGCGGGGGUUGAGCAACCCAGGGAAAGGAGGAAGCCAGUGCCUGUUCAUGGGAUAUGCCACCAGCUGUCUGAGCCCCACACACAGGUGAGCAUCAGAGAGGACACAGUGACUUGGUGUUAGAGGGUGGCCAUGCCCAGUGGUUGGGGCAGGAGUCAGGCUGAGUCAUCAGAGCAGGAGUCGGUGGCCAAAAAUCAUAGACCAAGGUCAGAGCCAGAGUCAGAAGCCAGGAGUCGGAGCUGGGCAGGGCAUUGCAGUGUGGCUGCUCACAUCCGGGCUAGGUUAACCCUGUGUUCAGACCAGGUGCCAGUCACCUGAGUUCACUUUGCAGCAUAGACGUGCCCAGAAGGCAGAGGGCUUGGUUUUGGGACAGAGCUGAGGGGCCUCGUUAAGGCAAUUUGCAAAAGGUCGUUACCUGCUUGGUCUUCUGUCCAAGGAAACAGGAUAUGUACAUAUUGCAAAUAAACAAAUGAUGCUUAGAAAUUGCUCCAUGUCACUGAUUUCUCAUCCACAUGGAAACCACUAUACCACAGGGACACCCAUACAUUAUUAUUUAGCUGCCACCAGCUAAUGAACUAGGCAAAGACCCCAAUGAGUUAUUUAGGACUGGUGCAUCCCUGCAUUGCGGACUCAAGUAGGGUCUCCCCUAUAGGAAUGUCUUGUCUCUACAUCAGGAAGUGGACUUUCGCUACAUGAGUCCAGAGGACCAGCAGCCGUUCAUGGAAAUCUACACCAAGGACAUGAGGGAGGGACUCAAACUCAUCGUACUGAUGAAACGCUACGGGGAAGUUGUCUGGAAGGUGUUGGUGAGACCAGGUGGGGACUGUCUUUUUGGUCUGUGUUUAUACAACGUGAAGCAAAAUGGGGUCCUGAACCCUGACUCGGCCUUUAGGUGUUAUGGUGACACAAACAAUAAAUAACAGAGUAUUCUUUCAAUGGGUGGGUUAUUCCAGCUGUAAGGCCUCUUGGUACUCCAAACACAGGGGCUCUAUGCACCAUCAUGUGUAACCAUUCAGACCUGAAAGUGCUCGCUGUGAAUGUAAAGUGUCUAAUAUAAAAGGGAAAGUAUUCUGAUGAACAAGUUGACUGACCUUCUCUUUGUUUCUCUCCUAGAGGAUGUGACGCUUUCGGGUUCAUCCUCUGAAAAGUUCAAGGGUCAGUUCUUCUGGGAAAGACCCAUGGGUGAAUCAGUGGCAAAAGCAGGAAGAGAACCUGGGAAUCCCCCUAUUCUAACCCACCAGACCCCAUUUCCCUCCCAGCUCCAGGGGUAGAACCCAGCAAUCUUGACUCCCAGCCAGCUCACUCUAAACCACUAGACCCCAUUCCCCUCCCAGAGCUUAUUAGAGGGAGCUUAGAAACCUGUUUUAAACCACAGAUCUCCUAACUAGUCAUGUUAAGCUAAAUCCUUUGUUUUCCAGGGCUUCAGAAACUGCUCCCUGAACUGAAACAAGGGUUUAUUGGACUAUGUGGCCAGAGAGAGUUCAGAAUGUCGCCCCCAGCUGCCUGGAGCUCACUGGCAAGGCCUGUGGAUGGGGAAGCAGAGGGAGAGCCAGGCAGCGGUGCUACACUCAGGACCGUGGCUAACGAGAAUUGCCAGAUUGGAUCCGACCUGAGGUCCAGAUAAUCCAGUGGCCUGUCUCUGAGUGUGCUGGUGUCAGCUGCUUCAGAGGAAAGCAUAAGAACCCGCAGUAAGAGAUGCAGAGUAAUCUACCCAUGACCUUCCAUCUCAUCCUGGUCUGUAACAGUGAGAGAUCAGCAUGUAUUUCCAGUCCAUUCCAGGCACGGUGACUGGCCAGCAAAGGUGUCAAGUGGGGGCUCCUGGGAAGUGAUCCAGCAGCUGAGAAGAGAGUUAAUGACAAUCCUCCAGAGUGAUGCAGAGGCCGUGGUCAGCGCUGCCGACGCCCCCUCCUCCUCACGCAGGGAGAGUACCUCGCCCUGAACUGGCUGGAGGAUCAGGAGAUCAGGGCUGCCAUGCUGAUUGAUAUGGUGCUGGCCAAGGGGGACCAGGCCCAUCAGCUCUUCCUAGACUGUAUGAGAACCCUGUGCUUCACCUUCCUUGCCCUGGAGCCUAUCCUCACGGGGUUACAAACCGGCUUCGAAGCAGAUGUGGCUAUCCCCAGGCCCGGAGCACAGAUAGGAGGCCCAGUCAGUGCUGAAGGGGAACAUUUUGUGGACCGGCAUUGAGCAGAGCUAAUUCAACGGGUCUCUAUGGUGGAUGGGGUCCUGGACAUGCUGUGUGGCACCGUGCUGGGUAACGAGCAGUACCAGCGCAUCUGAGCCGAGAGAAGCAACCCGGAGAAGAUGCGGAAGCUCUAUGAGCUCAUGCCGAGCUGGAACUGGGUCUGCAAGGACCAGCUCUACCAGGCGCUGAAGGCCAAGCACACGUUCCUCACUGAAGACCUUGAGGGGAAAUGAACGCAAUAAACUGUCCCUCCUUCUGGAGCGGCUGUGCCUAGAGUCCAUUCCAUGGUACUCAGGACUCCAGUUCUGGUUCUUCUCCCUAUUCACAGAAUCAUAGAAUCAUAGAAUAUUAGGGUUGGAAGGGACCUCAGGAGGUCAUCUAGUCCAACCCCCUGCUCAAAGCAGGACCAAUCCCCAAUUUUUCCCCAGAUUACAAAUGGCCCCCUCAAGGAUUGAACUCACAACCCUGGGUUUAGCAGGCCAAUGCUCAAACCGCUGAGCUAUCCCUCCCCCCCCCACCCAGAAUCCAUUGUGGCGAGGCUCCGGAAUCCGGUUCUGGUCCUUCAACCUGUCAAUCAGUGCUUGUCUGGUCUUUAUCCACCCCGCUAUGCACAUCCCCUACCAUCGUCACAGCUGGGUCUCUGACAGGGGGGCUCCAUCAGCCCCCCUCUGGCCUCUCCUCAGGCUGAACUUGGGUGGAGAUUCCAUCAAAGGCCCCAGUUCCCCGCUCACCUUCCUCAGCAACGGUGCCAGCAGCACCAUCUCCAUUCUCUGUGAUGUAAGGGCACAUGCCUCAAGCUGGAACACGGCGCGUGCUCCGGGAGUUCCCUGGGCAUCCCUCCUCCUCCCCGCCUCCGACGCCCCCGGGACAUUCUGUGGGGAAGGGUUUAUCGAUCACGGAAGCCGAUUAAAUAGAACUCGACGUAGUUCACUUGGGAAGUGAGACACUCACCCUCAACGUCACGGAAGCUGCAUGAAACAGGGUCUUGGGUUUUUUGUUUUUGUUUUUUAAGAAUAGUUGAUGUAUUUUUGUUAGAGAGAAAAAAGCCAUGAAUUGGGGGUGGCCACCAGAGCACGGGAGGGGAAAUGGAACACAACGACUGGCCUUUUCUCAGCUUUCCAGGGUGGGGAAAUGCCCCGGGACUUGCUCAGUUGGGAAAUGGAAGUGGUACUGCAAUACGCCCCGAAGAUCAUCUCUGGGCCAGCCCCUCCUGCUCUCAAUGUAGCCAGAUCAGAGGGCAGGGGCAGCUCUGGACAUGGAGAACUAGCUGCAUGAGAACAGGGGCUGCUUUCCCCUCCUUAAGCCCUGUUGCCACCCCCUCUCUCAGAGCCAGGGAGAGGAACCAGCGGUAGGUCUGCACUGCAGAUGGGAGCAUGCCUCCCAGCCCACGUCAGCUGUUUAGGCUCCUGAAUCAGUUAGGCACCACAACGCUGAGCAUAGUGUUGUCAGUUGUUGGCUGUGUGCGUGUGUUCUCCCUGGGUGCUUUUCUGGCUUUGGCCAGAUGGCCAUCACAGCAGACCUCAGUCAAACUGCCCAAAAAGACUCGGCCAGGUUUACUGCCAAUAAGGUAUGGAACUAGCACCUGGCAGACUCUACAGGGCCACUAAUACAGGUAUGCCCACGACAACAGACUCAGCUUAGUCAGCGGUGGGACUUUCCACUGUCCUCUCAGCUGGACAAAGACACUCCUCCUGUGACCCCUCUUUUAUACAGAUACAAACAAGUUACCUAGUACCUUUCUGAUGUGGUUAAUGACCACCUUACACCUUGUACCUGUUGGUUCAAUCAAAACAUCCCCAUCCGUUAUCCUGCCAUCCUGACCUUCUCUUCAGGAGGGUCAGUGUGUCCCUGUACCAUUUUCAGGGAGUGUGUUUAUACCACAACUUUGUAUCAGGUACUACCGUUCUGGACUGUGUUUACAUGAAUGAGGUAACUCCCUUCUCUUCAUGUGUCAGUAUAUAAUGCCUGCAUCUGUACUUUUCACUCCAUGCAUCUGAAGAAGUGGGUUUUUUACUCACAAAAGCUUAUGCCCAAAUAAAUGUGUUAGUCUUUAAGGUGCCACCGGACUCCUUGUUGUUUUCAUGAAUACUUAGUGCCUAAUACUUCUUAGGAGUGUCCGUGUUUAGCAAUACCAGCCAUAAUCUUACCAAGUUCAUGUACCCGACAGUGAACGUGUAAGCUGGCAUUUGCUUUAGAGAAGGGCCUGACUCUUGCUCAUAACCUCACUCUUGCUGAUUUUGGUGCAGGCCUUAUGUCUUGUACCAGGCCACGUGUUUCAGGCUCACACUCUUUCUACUACAUUCCCCCACUUUUUGUCUUUUUAUGGGGAGGAUGUUUACCCAUCACUCCAGAAAAGCAUAAUGCAUGGAUUGAAGAUGACCAAGUGGGCUAA
Molecule: long non-coding RNA, 4577 nt
Organism: Chelonia mydas (Green sea turtle)
Lineage: Eukaryota; Metazoa; Chordata; Testudines; Cheloniidae
Exons: 5
Source: RefSeq, a predicted model, not a curated record